This 303-nucleotide ribosomal RNA is filed under the name uncultured bacterium. RNAcentral describes it as "partial 16S ribosomal RNA". It matches the Rfam family "Bacterial small subunit ribosomal RNA", at positions 507 to 809 of the family's 1533-position model. The record is from RNAcentral.
AGCAGUCGCCACGGUAAUACGUAGGUGGCAAGCGUUGUCCGGAAUUAUUGGGCGUAAAGGGCUCGCAGGCGGUUUCUUAAGUCUGAUGUGAAAGCCCCCGGCUCAACCGGGGAGGGUCAUUGGAAACUGGGAAACUUGAGUGCAGAAGAGGAGAGUGGAAUUCCACGUGUAGCGGUGAAAUGCGUAGAGAUGUGGAGGAACACCAGUGGCGAAGGCGACUCUCUGGUCUGUAACUGACGCUGAGGAGCGAGAGCGUGGGGAGCGAACAGGAUUAGAUACCUGUAGUCCCUGUCUCUUAUACAC